This 262-nucleotide ribosomal RNA is filed under the name uncultured bacterium. Its description in RNAcentral is "partial 16S ribosomal RNA". It matches the Rfam family "Bacterial small subunit ribosomal RNA", at positions 515 to 776 of the family's 1533-position model. The record is from RNAcentral.
CCGCGGUAAUACGGAGGGUGCAAGCGUUAAUCGGAAUUACUGGGCGUAAAGCGCACGUAGGUGGCUGAAUAAGUCGGAUGUGAAAGCCCUGGGCUCAACCUGGGAAUGGCAUUGGAUACUGGCAGGCUAGAGUGCGGUAGAGGGUAGUGGAAUUCCCGGUGUAGCAGUGAAAUGCGUAGAGAUCGGGAGGAACAUCUGUGGCGAAGGCGACUACCUGGACCAGCACUGACACUGAGGCACGAAAGCGUGGGGAGCAAACAGG